This 790-nucleotide ribosomal RNA is filed under the name uncultured Actinomycetes bacterium. RNAcentral's name for it is "bacterial SSU rRNA". It matches the Rfam family "Bacterial small subunit ribosomal RNA", at positions 93 to 896 of the family's 1533-position model. Lineage: Bacteria; Bacillati; Actinomycetota; Actinomycetes. The record is from RNAcentral.
GAGUGGCGAACGGGUGAGUAACACGUGGGUGACCUGCCCUGCACUUCGGGAUAAGCCUGGGAAACUGGGUCUAAUACCGGAUAGGACCGCACCGUGAGGGUGUGGUGGAAAGUUUUUUCGGUGUGGGAUGGGCCCGCGGCCUAUCAGCUUGUUGGUGGGGUAAUGGCCUACCAAGGCGGCGACGGGUAGCCGGCCUGAGAGGGUGGACGGCCACAUUGGGACUGAGACACGGCCCAGACUCCUACGGGAGGCAGCAGUGGGGAAUAUUGCACAAUGGGCGGAAGCCUGAUGCAGCGACGCCGCGUGGGGGAUGACGGCCUUCGGGUUGUAAACUCCUUUCACCAUCGACGAAGGGUUUCUGACGGUAGAUGGAGAAGAAGCACCGGCUAACUACGUGCCAGCAGCCGCGGUAAUACGUAGGGUGCGAGCGUUGUCCGGAAUUACUGGGCGUAAAGAGCUCGUAGGUGGUUUGUCGAGCGUCGUCUGUGAAAUUCCGGGGCUUAACUCCGGGCGUGCAGGCGAUACGGGCAUAACUUGAGUACUGUAGGGGAGACUGGAAUUCCUGGUGUAGCGGUGAAAUGCGCAGAUAUCAGGAGGAACACCGGUGGCGAAGGCGGGUCUCUGGGCAGUAACUGACGCUGAGGAGCGAAAGCAUGGGGAGCGAACAGGAUUAGAUACCCUGGUAGUCCAUGCCGUAAACGGUGGGCGCUAGGUGUGGGUUUCCUUCCACGGGAUCCGUGCCGUAGCUAACGCAUUAAGCGCCCCGCCUGGGGAGUACGCCGCAAGGCUA